AGCAGAUUGGUAAAUAAAUUAUGAAUGUGGCUAGGGAGAAUGAAAAGGAAAUUGAUAUGGGAACGAACGAAUGCUAGAUUUGAAGGUGUUGAGAUAUUUAAUUUCCUGAAUUUCUCGAGUUUUGCAAUGACAAGUAGUAUCCAAAAUAUAAAGCCUUUGAAUAAAAUCGUCGGGGCCAAACAAUGAAAAUGAGAACCAGAUGAUGAACUGAAAAGGAUCUCA
This is a non-coding RNA of Caenorhabditis elegans, 222 nucleotides long. The record is from Ensembl. NCBI's taxonomy places the organism in Eukaryota, Metazoa, Nematoda, Chromadorea, Rhabditida, Rhabditidae.